Molecule: long non-coding RNA, 609 nt
Organism: Salvia splendens (bonfire salvia)
Lineage: Eukaryota; Viridiplantae; Streptophyta; Magnoliopsida; Lamiales; Lamiaceae
Exons: 3
Source: RefSeq, a predicted model, not a curated record
CGGGGAGAUUGCAUAUUUAGAAAACUGUUAGAGCACACGCGAAUUGAAGAAGAUUUAUUUGAGAAAAACGGGAAAACUCUUAUUGAUUUCUUGAAAAUUUGGGGAUUACAAUUUGAGGUGUGUGUGAAAUCCGUCAUUAGAAAGGAACAAAUCAGUAGGGCGGACGAACGAAUCAAGAAAAGAAGGCAAAAACUGCGACAUUGAGUUGAUCAAGUCAAAAAUCGAGCGGAGUCAGCAGGAGUUCUGCAUUGGGAGAUAGAGCUAAAGACCCCACCACUAAUUGUGAUGGGCAGGAACGACAUUUUAGAGAGGAUGGUACCCUAGGUAUCAGAGCCCUACGCCUCUCUAUAUAAAGGAAGCCCGACACAAGAAAAAGAGAGUCCCAACCAGUGGUGAAAGGGGGAUCUCAUAAGCUUUCUUAGUUAGAAUAUCUUUAGGAAUUCAACUCUCUUCUAAGGUUGAAAUCGGAGCUCUUUUCACUUCAUCUUCUUGAUUUCGUCGCACAUACACACUUGGUCUUGUUCUAGUUUAGUUUAGCUGGUAGUUUGGUGGUGGUUUACUGCACUUUUAUCUUUCGAUUCUGUUAUUCCACUCCGAGAAGGGGUGAUG